This is a long non-coding RNA of Cotesia glomerata, 278 nucleotides long. RefSeq lists it as uncharacterized. The record is from RefSeq and is a predicted model, not a curated record. The transcript is spliced from 2 exons. NCBI's taxonomy places the organism in Eukaryota, Metazoa, Arthropoda, Insecta, Hymenoptera, Braconidae.
GUCGAGCUUCCAGUUUGUUAGAUACUUCACUACGUGAUAACUGAUGAUUUAAAAUGUAUUGUAGCCGUUUUCGCGAGAACCGUCGGAGAAGAUGUCUUGGUAGUCGAGUUUCCGGUUUUCUAGAUGCCUCCCUAUAUGAUAACUGAUGAUUUAAAAUGUAUUGUAGCGUUUUCCGUGAGAACCGUCGGAGAAGAUGUCUUGGUAGUCGAGCUUCCGGCUUGCUAGAUACCUCCCUACAUGAUAACUGAUUAUUUAAAAUGUUUUCUAGCGUUUUCCGC